GGGCAACCACAGGGAUUGCUCACCGGUGACUCAGUGGUUGACUCAAAGGCUAGAGGGUGGUUUGGGGGUGGAGGCAGAGGUCCAGUGAGCUGGGCUCCACCCUUUCUCUCCCUGCAGUCCCAACUCCAUUUUUAUCUGUGCUAUAUGUUGGAGUCUAGCCAAGAUGUCAUUUGAACAAAGAUUCUGAAAGAUCAAAGAAAAAAGUUUGAAAACCACCAGGACAAUGCUUUCAGGGGACUUUAUCCAAAAGACUGCAACAAUGUAAAGAGAUACGAUUGCUUUUAUUACUGUGAUAUGUUUAAAGUAUUAUAAAUUUUUUAAGAGCUUUGUAAGUGACAGAAGUGAAGACAUGCUCAUUUUAAUGUUACCAGUCAACUCUGAGAAGACUAAAGGUCAAGGGACAAUGAAAAUGUGACCCUUACCAACGACAGAAACUCCCAGGAAGCCACAAUUAACUCAAGACCACCAGGAUAUUUGGGGAAGUUUAUCCUUCUGGAAACCAGAAUUUCUGAUUUGUGGAAAAUUCUAUAGAUAUUCUCUGCCAGACUCCAGCCUAUUUGUGUGAGACAUCUGGGGAGGCUCCCCUUUUUUUCACCAUUUGAGGACUGAAAGUAAAUUUAGCUUCCUCAGCAGAAAGAAAAGAAGCUGUUUUGGAGGUUGGGAAGAGCUUUAGAAAAUGCGGCAUCACGUCUGUUGCCCCAUUUGAAGAAAGCAGCUCUGGAAAAGGCCUAGGACAUUAGUUGCUACAAAGUUCUAGAUCAUUCUGUGUGGUAAAGAAGUGCCUUUCACCUCCCACUGUGAUUCUGAGGCCUCCCCAGCCAUGUGGAACUAUCAGGUCUGUGUUGGUAAAUUAGACACCGUGUGGCCUUUCAACAUCCAGGAGCAAGAUGGCAGGAGAAUCAUGCCAACAACUGAGCCAAAGGUAAGAAGCCAAUAUGAUAUGCAUUUGAUUCUGUUACGGAAAUCCACAUAAAAGAAGGCUGCCCAAGUAUAAAACCAACACAGAAGAAAGCAGAGGUAAGAGAUGGAAAAAGAAAUGAGUGAACCAGUGACAGCAAGAGACUGAAGAACAUCAUUUGAUUGCCUGGAAUCAGCUAAGCCUGAAGAGAAGCCUAACCCUAAGCUUUUCAGUUACCCAAGCCAUCAAAUUCCCAUCCCCAUUUUUUUGGUUCUUAAGCAGCUUGAACCAUAGUUGUCUCACUUGCAUGCAAGAGAUCCCUGAAGAUACAUGCAGUUCCUCAGGUGAAGAUUGCCAUCAGUUAACAGAUCCUGGCACCCAUGGACCCUGGGACAGUCAUUCUGGUAGCAUCCUCUGGUAGAGAAUAACAUAGUCAAAUCUGACAGUCAGAGAGUAUCUGCCAGCCUCUGCUUAGAUAUAGCCCACUGAAAGGGAGAGAUGAUUAAUUUAGCCUUGAUUUCAAAACCUUGUCUUGUAUAUUCCAUUCAGCACUUUUUAUCUUCCUGUAUUCCCCUGGUUCCUCUCUAGCUGAAUAAAGAACAAUUUUUAAAGCAAA
Molecule: long non-coding RNA, 1514 nt
Organism: Homo sapiens (human)
Lineage: Eukaryota; Metazoa; Chordata; Mammalia; Primates; Hominidae
Gene: KCNMA1-AS3
Product: KCNMA1 antisense RNA 3
Source: Ensembl